CCUACGGGAGGCAGCAGUGGGGAAUAUUGGACAAUGGGGGGAACCCUGAUCCAGCGACGCCGCGUGAGUGCAGAAGUAUUUCGGUAUGUAAAGCUCUAUCAGCAGGGAAGAAAGAAAUGACGGUACCUGACUAAGACGCCCCGGCUAACUACGUGCCAGCAGCCGCGGUAAUCCGUAGGGGGCAAUCGUUAUCCGGAUGUACUGGUUGUAAAGGGAGCGUAGACGGCGAGGCAAGUCUGAAGUGAAAGGCGGUGGCCCAAACCCCGGACUGCUUUGGACACGGUAUGGCUGGAGUGCAGGAGAGGUAAGUGGAAUUCCUGGUGUAGCGGUGAAAUGCGUAGAUAUUAGGAGGAACACCAGUGGCGAAGGCGGCUUACUGGACUGUAACUGACGUUGAGGCUCGAAAGCGUGGGGAGCAAACAGGAUUAGAUACCCCAGUAGUC
RNAcentral lists this ribosomal RNA (443 nucleotides) under uncultured bacterium. RNAcentral's name for it is "partial 16S ribosomal RNA". It matches the Rfam family "Bacterial small subunit ribosomal RNA", at positions 338 to 795 of the family's 1533-position model. The record is from RNAcentral.